UGCAGAUGUUUCUCAGUGGUAGAGCACUUGCCUAGUAUGUGUGAUGUCCUGGGUUCCAUGCCCAGCACUGCAG
This 73-nucleotide transfer RNA is filed under the name Marmota monax (woodchuck). RNAcentral describes it as "tRNA.Thr". Lineage: Eukaryota; Metazoa; Chordata; Mammalia; Rodentia; Sciuridae. The record is from RNAcentral.